GAUGAACGCUGGCGGCGUGCUUAACACAUGCAAGUCGAACGAAGCACUUUAUUUGAUUUCCUUCGGGACUGAUUAUUUUGUGACUGAGUGGCGGACGGGUGAGUAACGCGUGGGUAACCUGCCUUGUACAGGGGGAUAACAGUUGGAAACGGCUGCUAAUACCGCAUAAGCGCACAGCAUCGCAUGAUGCAGUGUGAAAAACUCCGGUGGUAUAAGAUGGACCCGCGUUGGAUUAGCUAGUUGGUGAGGUAACGGCCCACCAAGGCGACGAUCCAUAGCCGAGCUGAGAGGGUGACCGGCCACAUUGGGACUGAGACACGGCCCAAAAUCCUACGGGAGGCAGCAGUGGGGAAUAUUGCACAAUGGGCGAAAGCCUGAAGCAGCGACGCCGCGUGAGCGAAGAAGUAUUUAGGUAUGUAAAGCUCUAUCAGCAGGGAAGAUAAUGACGGUACCUGACUAAGAAGCACCGGCUAAAUACGUG
RNAcentral lists this ribosomal RNA (481 nucleotides) under uncultured bacterium. RNAcentral describes it as "partial 16S ribosomal RNA". It matches the Rfam family "Bacterial small subunit ribosomal RNA", at positions 28 to 507 of the family's 1533-position model. The record is from RNAcentral.